ACGGGUGAGUAACACGUGGUCAACCUUCCCUAGAGUGGGGGAUAACUAGCCGAAAGGUUAGCUAAUACCGCAUACGAUCUUCGAGGGGCAUCCCUUGAAGAUGAAAGGAGCAAUUCGCUCUAGGACGGGACCGCGUCCCAUUAGCUAGUUGGUGGGGUAAUGGCCUACCAAGGCUCCGAUGGGUAGCUGGUUUGAGAGAAUGACCAGCCACACUGGGACUGAGAAACGGCCCAG
This 234-nucleotide ribosomal RNA is filed under the name uncultured bacterium. RNAcentral describes it as "partial 16S ribosomal RNA". It matches the Rfam family "Bacterial small subunit ribosomal RNA", at positions 102 to 334 of the family's 1533-position model. The record is from RNAcentral.